CUAAUUCCAGGUAAUUACCUAUUUUUAUUUCAGUUUGCUAUUUUAAUUUUUUUCUACUUAAUCUCAAAUAAACUCCAAUGACUAUUGUAUACAAGAUGGACAAAGCUAAUAUGCUUUGAAGGCUGCUCCUAAAGGAAUUUAUGAUGUUAUGGUUCUGAAUGCGAUGCAUGGAAGGAAAAUCUUGGGCAUAAAGAAAUUGAACACAAAAUAAAGCACUAUAAGGAAUUGGGAAAGAGUAAUGGUAAAGACGGUGCACAAUAUUCUGCUGGUUUUGAAAAGCAUUAAAAGGAUUUCAUUUGGGCUAAUCUUUAAUAAAAGACGGUGAUGUUUGCACGUUUGUUUUUCUCGAUGAUGAAGGUACGUUGGUCCUAACAAUAAUCUCCAAAUAACACCUCCUUUACCGCAAGACAGAGACUUUUGAUCCAUUACGGAUAGUUCCUUUUGGUUGGUGUUGUUUAUAAGUAAUAGCGGGUAUCACCUAUAACU
Molecule: long non-coding RNA, 486 nt
Organism: Helianthus annuus (common sunflower)
Lineage: Eukaryota; Viridiplantae; Streptophyta; Magnoliopsida; Asterales; Asteraceae
Exons: 3
Source: RefSeq, a predicted model, not a curated record